UCUCUCUGAAUCUGCGAACGGCUCCGCAAACCAGUUGUAAACCAUAGCAAGCCCGCCUUGGUCACCCGGCCGUAAAACGCCGGGCCCGUCCUUGGCUAUAAGGAUAACCCUGGUAAUUCUGAGGCUAAUACAUGAACGUACACCCCGUCCAAAGGGCAACCGGAGGACGGGGACUGUGGGGGGGCAAACCGCAAGAAUUACCAGGAACAGACUCACAGUAAGACCACCACCCACACGGUCCAUGCUUCGCUCGGCAACCCACCCCUUCGGGGGGGGGCCCGGGCUGGUGUGUGUCCGGGUGGCUCUUGCUGGGUGCAUCUGACCUAUCAACUAGAUGGCAGCGUAACGGACAUGCUAUGGUUACAACGGGUACAGAGGAUAAGGGUUCGAUCCUGGAGAGUGGGCCUGAGAGAUU
RNAcentral lists this ribosomal RNA (415 nucleotides) under Badhamia spinispora. RNAcentral's name for it is "SSU rRNA". It matches the Rfam family "Eukaryotic small subunit ribosomal RNA", at positions 76 to 405 of the family's 1831-position model. The record is from RNAcentral. Lineage: Eukaryota; Evosea; Eumycetozoa; Physariida; Physaraceae.